Non-coding RNA from Schistosoma mansoni, 52 nucleotides. The record is from Rfam. Lineage: Eukaryota; Metazoa; Platyhelminthes; Trematoda; Strigeidida; Schistosomatidae.
CUGCCACUGAGGAGUCCCAUAAUAGGACGAAACAGUCGUCCAGUGCUUGCAG